CCGCUCAGUGUCGUCUUGUUGGCUGUCGCGUUCGUGUGCGCGCACUGAGAGAAACGGAACGCCACAGUUGCACUUUCGGCUGCAAUUCCUCGAUAUUCCUCGAGUCCCCGCGAUUCCUGACUUGCUCCACCCGCCUCUCGCGAAGUGCGUGCGUUUCGGCCAAACCAAAACAAAACAACUACCGCCAUCGCGUUCAAGAUACAAGCCACAACCAUCCAUCAGGGGGCACAUAGAAUAGUUGGAGGCGCAGAGGAAAAAACCCUGCCGUGGAGGGCAUUUGCAUUUUGUUUACCUCGAUGGCUGUGUGGAGUGCAAUUUGACUAUUAUAUAAUAUAACAAAAUAAAGAAGAAAACAAAUAAGUGUGUGCGCUGCAUUCGAUUUUAAUUGCAAGCAACUGCAAUAACCACUGAGGAAGAGGAAGACAGAGAAGAACAGAUCUUUUGCAGUAAUAUGUUGCCUUUAAACCAAUUGGGAAACCAACAACCAAAGUUAACGCAACGUUUCUAAAACUUAAAGUCUAAUCAAACAAAUAACAAAUUCAAAGUACACAAUAAAAUUGAAACCAAACCAAAAGUGGCCUGCAAAACGAAGCAACUAAAACAACCAAGAAAUGUGAUUCAAAGUGUGCAAUGUAACCAAAUUAUUAGUAAAAAAAUUUAACAAAACACAAACCAGGAAGGGGAAAAGCUGUGGAAAAUCAGCGGGAAAACCAAAGCCAGGCCAAAUGGAAAUCAAGGAAUCCGGGAGCCAAUCGCCAAGCCAACUAGCAGCCAACGUGGCCAAUGAUUAAGGGAACACUUUGUUAGCCAACUCGUAGUAGCAGCAUCCCCCGUCCACACAUCACAGCACCCGGAAUACAGCCACUCAGCCGAAACACAGAACCACUCGACCUCCCCUCGCAGCCCUCGAUGCCCGGAAAGAAGGCGUUGGAGCAACAAUUGUAGAGUAGACAGCCAGACAACCACAUCAGCGCCGCUCAGCUCCCAACUCCGAGUCCUAGACCCCGAAUUCCGCACUCCAGCUCCCAGUCAAUCUCAAUCACGAGCCAAAACCCCAACAUGGACAUCAAGAUUGAGCAGCAGCAGCAGCAGCAGCAGCAGCAGCAGCAGCAAGUGGAGCUGGGACCUUGUUCCCCCUCGGAGGUGCCCAAUGAUCCCGGAAAAAUGUUCAUUGGCGGCCUGAGUUGGCAGACAAGUCCAGAGAGCUUACGCGAUUACUUUGGACGAUAUGGUGAUAUCUCAGAGGCUAUGGUCAUGAAGGAUCCCACGACGCGCAGAUCCAGAGGCUUCGGCUUUGUCACAUUCAGCGAUCCAAAUAGCGUAGAUAAGGUACUCACCCAAGGCACACACGAGCUGGAUGGCAAAAAGGUCGAUCCGAAAGUAGCUUUUCCGCGCCGAGCACAUCCCAAGAUGGUGACGAGAACGAAGAAAAUCUUUGUGGGCGGCCUCUCGGCGCCCACCACACUGGAGGAUGUCAAAAGUUACUUCGAACAGUUUGGUCCGAUCGAGGAUGCCAUGUUGAUGUUCGAUAAGCAGACCAAUCGGCACAGAGGUUUUGGCUUCGUUACAUUUCAAAGCGAAGAUGUGGUAGACAAAGUUUGCGAAAUUCAUUUCCACGAGAUAAACAACAAAAUGGUCGAGUGCAAGAAGGCGCAGCCGAAGGAGGUGAUGCUGCCGGCCAACCUGGCCAAAACAAGGGCUGCCGGACGCUCCGCAUACGAUAACAUCAUGUGGGGACUGGGGACAUUGCCCGAAGGUUUUCCGGCAGCUGCCUACGCUGCCUAUGCCGCUGGCCGCGGAUACUCGGGCUAUCCCAGUUUUGGACUGCCCUAUCCAACUGUUGAUCUAACCAACGGGCAGCUGACCCCCAACAACAACACACCGCUGCUGACCCAGGCGCUGUCAGUGAUGAACAACUAUCAGGCGGCUGCCGCGGCCGCCCACAGCUAUGGGCCGUCGGCCUCGCCGCACGCCGCCGCCGCCAACACGGCCACCCGGCAGGGAUUCCCGUCGACCAACUCGCCCGGCCCCACCAUCGACAUGUACAGCUCGGCGGCCGCCGACAACGUGGGCUACGUGCAGGCCACCAGUCCGCAGCCGUCCGGCUUCCCCAUCGCCGUCAGCCGAGCCCCGUUGAACUACAGCCCGAUUUAUUCGUUGAACUUUGCGAUGGCUAAUAUAUAAAAGACUGAUAACCCAAAAAUAUAAAUGCAAGAGAACAAAAAAACAAAACAAAAGAUAUGCAAAAAGUAAAAGAAACCAAUUAUAUAUUUAAAUCGAAAAAAUAUAUGAAAAAAAAAGAUACAAAUAAAAUAAAGCUAAACGAAAGCAAACAAAAGAAAUAAGAGUAUAAACAAAAACGCAGUUGCACAAGGGACCACUAAUUCCUGCGGCAUUUACAAAUGGAUACCAUUAAAAGGUGGCGCCGACAACCGCAAUGAGAACAACAACAACAACAACAACAAAGGCAGCAGCAACAACAACAGCAUAAUUAACAACAACAACAAGAGCAACAAGAGCAACAGGAGCAACAAAUGCGACAGCAACUUUAGCAACAAAUGACAGACACACACAGAUACACACUCACACACUGCAGUGCUGCAACCACAGAGCGCAAAAAAGAAGAAGCAAAAAUAAUUAAAAAUUAUAUAUACCUGCAUAUAUAUAAAUAUAAAUCAAAUAAAGUACAUAUUACAUAUUUGUGUAUUUCCACAAAUGGCAAAAAUUAAAUCCGUUAAGCAAGAAAAACCGAGACAACUGCAAGAGCAACAAACAAUAAACCAAACACACAUAUUAUAAUUAAUUAAUUAACGUAUAUUACAAAUACGUACAUAUUAACGCAUGGCAAAAAAGAAAAAACGUAUAUUAAAAAAGUAAAAAAAAGGAGAAAAAACGAUGACGACGAACUACGAGCGAACACAAACAAAAAAUUAAUUUUAAUUUAACAACCACUACAACAACAGCAGCGGCAAGAACAACGCUCGGCCCCGAAAGAUGCAACGUGUGCAGCAAAAAUCGUUUAAAAUGCAAAUUAAACGGAAACUGCGCGUCCAACUGGAGUGGAGUGCCAUCGCGGUGGGCGGCUGCGGCCUGGGUGGGCGUGGCCCUGCUCAUACAGCAAAAAAUCCAGAGGCCUCACGCCCCCUCCCCACACAAAAGGGGCGUAACCACUUUUAAGUAAUGAGAAACCAACAAACGAAGGCAAAAAAUGAAAAACAAAAAAAGGAAAUCACAAAAAAACGAGGGGGUUACUAAUAAAACGAUAGAGUUGAAAAAAAAAAACAAAUCAGAUAAAGCAAAAAUGUUGCAAUAAUAGCGAAAAUGUUAUUAUUUAAUUGCGUAUUAUUAACGGCAAAUUAUUAUUACCAUUAUUAUUGCUAUUCUUAACGUAUCUAAGUUGUAACUUUUAAAGUUAAAAUCGAUAUAUAUAUAUAUACAUAUAUAUACAAGAAUAUACACUCUUAUACACGUAAAUUAAACUGCAAUAUAUACAAAGGGAAUUACUUGAAUCAAAACGCGGAAUCCAACCACAAGUUAUUGUACUUUCAACGAUAAUUAUCGAUUUAGCAACGCUGGCGUGCAGAGGAGUUUGAAAACGUUAAUCGGUAUCGGUUGGGCUUAGUUCUCAUUUCUCGACUGGAUGGGGGGGUGAAUCAAAUCAAAAUUGUGCUUACAAUUAUAUUUAUGAAUUUAUUUUAAAGUACAACAAAUCCUUUAUUGGCCAAAGUAAACAACAAAGAAACAAAAGCGAAUGUGAGCAAAGUCGAAGGCAAUUUGUUAUUAACUAUGUUGAGGUUCUCUUUCUCAUUAUUUCAAUCGAAUCAGGGGAACUUAGAGGCAAAAGAAAAGUAAACCUAUAACUUUUGUGUUCACAUUGAAAGCAAAAUGGUAAAUAAUGCUAAUUAAACAGUGGUUAGUUAGACAAAUAUGUUAAAGCAUUAAAUAUGACAAUGAAAGCGAAGUGAGAGAGUGAAUUUCCGUAGCUCGAGGCAUAAAUCAAUUUAUUUGCUAAAAACAAUGGAGAAUCCAGAACAAUGAAAACUGCAAAAAACAACUCCCUAAAUAUGUAAGAAACACAAUUUUUCAGAUACAACACGGCACACAUACAUAAACACACACAGACAGGACACAGACCUUACGGAUAAAUCAAAAAGAAACACUUAAACAAAUUACUUGGUAAGAGCAUAUGCAAAUAUAACAAUGAACUAUUAUACAAACAACAUAUAGUACGAUUAAGUAAAUAAAAUAUUUAUAAAACAAACGCGCAAAAUCGCAAAUGUUUGAACACUUAACUAAAUAUAUCUGUAAACAAGCGUGUAAAAAGGAUCACAGACGAGCGAUGAGCGAUGAGCCACAUAAAAUGGCAGUGGAAAAUUGGAAAUGACAAAUAUGGUUAUGGAAAUCAUGAUGUCGAGUUGAAAAUGCAGGCCACGCAAUGUGCAAUUAAUUUUUUUCUAGUCGCUCCGUCCGGCGAAUCGCCCGGACGAUUGAUGUACUAGGCGUGUUUGAGGAUUAUGACGAUAACGAUGACGACGACGAUGCAAUCGGGGGCGUAAUAGAAAAAUAUAUUUAUAUACAACUAUAUGGAGUAUUAAAUUAUUGGAAAAGCAAAAACCAAACAAACCUAUCAGCUAGAUAAGUAAACGACAUUUGUUACACACAGCAAGUGGGGGAAAACUGCAGGCAACACAAAAACCCAAAGGAAAUAGCAGAGAAAGGGAAAUAUUCUAUAAUUGACAGAACAACAAUACGUUGCGCUUUUUCUCUGUCUGAGAUUUUUUGCAUUAGGCGACGUAAAAACCAGAUGAAAAACUAAAACAAAAACAAGGGCAGAGACAGCGAGCGGAGAAAAGCCAGUGGAAAAACAAAAGCAAAUGCCGAAACAGUGAAAAUGUUCCUUUCAUAACUUUUUUGCCAAAUUGUCAAACCAACGCUCUCCAGGACUUUUGUCGAGUCUCGGACCAACAAACUUACACAUUACCUAUAUAGUAGAGGGAAAUCGCGGGAACCGAAACCAAAAGAGCCGGAAAAAACAACCAUACACGAUGUUUAAAGUCGAACAACAAAAUAGUUGCAGUGUAACAUAAAGUACAUUUAACCCUUAAAGUGUUGGGCCACCCCCCCCACACACAUCGAUCAUUUCAGAUUUUCCAAAGAUCGCCUCCUGCGACUUUGCCAUGUGCAUCACACUUAUAAAUAAUCAAAAAACAGAAAGUAACAAAUUAAGGAAGCGAAAAGACAGAAAUCUUCAAUUUUAGAUAGACAAAGAUCAGACCAUUGGACAGUCUGGCAUAUCGGGAGUUUAAAAGAGCACCUUUGCCAGGUGUGGAUUACUUUAGAAGGUCGCAGGUCAAAGGGGAGAAUUCCAGAUGCAGCUUCUGCCCUGCGGGGCGGAUAUUUUUAAAAGGGAAAGCAACGGCAAACAUGUUAUAUUUGCAUAAUAUAUAUAUAUAUAUAUUAAACCUACUUCUAAGGCAUAUAUAAAUAUAUAAAUAAAUAUAUUUUUAAGACAUGUUCUAAAAGCAAUAAUUCAAAACAACAACCAGCGUGGCGAAGGCGGAAUAAAAUUGAACAAAAUACAUAAAAUAUACACCAAUAUAUAAAUAUACAUAAAGAUAUAUACACCUACACGUAAAUAUAUACAUGCAUACCAGAUAUAUAUAUUAAAGAAAGCGAUUAGCUUGAGUCUGGAGAAAUCACUUCGCAGGCAGCUGAGCCUGUGUUGCUACACUUCUUUAACUAGAGCCCCGAUCCACGAUCAGUGGGCCGGCAAUCGUUUGAACUCGUAUUAUUUCUGGUGUAGGUGGACGAGGGAUUAGGGUACCCUAGAUAAUCUCAGGACCCGAGGUCCUGCGUUUCGUUUACGUUGUAAGUCGAAGCAGCUUUAGGUGUAAUGUUGAGUCUUUCCUAGAAGUUUCCCCAGCAUUUCCCCGCUAACGAUCGACUCUAGGCUUUCCGUUUGUGUUUUGUAGUGCUCUAUGUAUUCUAUAAGGAUCUUCUGCGGAAGCUAUAGCCGAACAGAGACAUAUAACCAUUGGUAUACCGGAUCAACUUCAGCUUAAAGAAUACCGAAACAACAAGCAAUGCGUCCUUGUAAACAAAAUCAAUUUCAGUCAAUUAGAGAAUUUCCAACACCAACAAGGCACAGAGACAUAAAGACAACAACAAGCAACAAAAACAUUUUUUAAAAACCAAAAAAAAAGCGAACAAAGACAAACAUUUUUCAUUAUUUUUUUACUGAUGCGCCGUCAGAGCGAAGAGAAUGCAGGAUGAGAUCGCGAUGGCUUGACGGCGCAGGCGCAAAAGCUUUAAAUUGAACAAAAUAUGAAUAACACGAACAAGGAGAACAAUUUAUAGAAUUCGACAGGAAGGCCUCUCUAUUUUAUAUCGAGAACGGAGAAAUGAGUGUAUAAAAAGUAUGCCGUAACGAUUUUUUAAAAAUAAUGUACCCCAUACUUUAAGCUAUACGCAACUUUCGGUCAAAAAGUCAAUUGGUGGUCUAAGCCGGGUAUGAAGCCAAAAGUUAAAUAUAUAAACGAAAAGACAUAAAGUGUAAUGUAAAAUAGUUUUAAAUUGGCGAAACACCAGAAGACGACGACGACGAUGAUGAUGAGGACUGGGUGUAGGCGGAGUUACGUAGUUACAUAUACGAAUUGCUUUCCGUUUUUCUCUUAUUAUUGACUUACAAACAUAUCAGUUCUUAUUAUGUGUAUGAGUAUAGCAACAACAUCAACAAAUACGAUUACAAUUACGAUAACGAUUACGAUAAUGAAAUACAAUUUAACUAAUAUCUAGCGCUAACGAACGAAAAAAACUUUCUGUUUAACAAAACCAAGAACAACAAUAACCACGCAGAUGAGUAAGACCAGUAGCUGAGCUGUCCCUUUUGAGAAGCGCGGAGAGCGGCGCGAAAGGGCGACUGGCGGGACUUACGACUUGUGGGCCUUCUACACUUUGACGUGCUUUUAUACGAUAGCAAUCCUUUAACUACACGAGACAUUUCUAUCCUCGGUUCUUUUUUAUAGACAUGUGUACAUACACCUCACACACACCCAAACACACCAAUACACACUCAGCCACAGACACAGACACUGGCACACGCAUAUAUACGAUGGAGAUCACAUACAAAAGAACCUUCAUACGAACGAUCACUUGACUAUUUUUGCUAUAAGUAAGAAAUUCCCCCCAGGAAUGUGUCAGUCGGAAGUGGCAGAACUCCUGCUGACAAAACACCUUUACUAUAUUGACAAUAUCUCUUAUAUAUUUUACACUAUACUAUAUGGAAAAUUAUAUAUUAAUAUAUACAAGAAAAUGAGGAAAACCAAAAACGAAACAAAAUAAUACAUAACUGAGGCAAGACGAACGGCGUGAGUGGUGUUAAAAUUGUAUUUACAAGAAAUGCGUAAACCAAGCAAGAUGAAAUCAUUUUAAUACUUUAUACACAUAAAAGUCAAAGGAAUCUUUAGAGACAAAAGCAGUCGGCAGAUGAAUAUGCAACUACAAGACAGACAACAAGACGAUGAAAAUGAAAAUAAAGAUAAAAAGGAAGAUACAUUUAUAAAAUGCGCCAUAGCAGGGCGUCCAGUUUGUAAGUAUUCUAACUAUGUAAGUAAAGUAAUUAAGGAGCGCAGGACGAGAAUCAAUUAAACAUACAUACUGUCUACGAAGUCGCCGGCCCGAGAGCUUUGGCAACUUUCAUUGCGAAUACUUUAACACAAGUGAAACCAGAUGGAAUGGAUGGGAUGGGUUCGGGUGAUUUCAAAUCGGACACAUUGGGGAUGGGUUGAUGAUGAAUGUUGGAUGCGGUAUGCGGGAUGGGGAUGUGAGAUUGCCAAUGUGUGUACAUAAGCAUAAACAUAACAUAAACUGGUACAGUACUACACUUACAGCAAACUAUACAAGGUAAAAGAACAUAAUAAUUAACAGCCAGAAGGCGGGAGACACAUACACAUAAAUAGAGGCAUAACGAGAAUUUAAUAAACCAUUUUUCAUUUCUAUAAAGAAAUCCGGUAACGAAUUUGUAUAUUUACUACGAGAAAACAAGAAAAAUAUAUACAAAAAGAUAUAUAUUAAACGGAGUACAGACCCAAAAAAAAUAAGAGGAGCGAAGGCCGACGAACCUUUCUGAGAACAGCAAAUAUGCCCGUAUAUACAUAUAUGAGAAUAAAACCCAAAACGAUAUAUAUACACAUAUAUAUACACAUAUAUAUACAUAGUUAUAUAACCAAGAACAACAAAUAACAUAUAGUUAAAUUCAAUAAUGUUAAGCAUUCGAUGAGCAAACAGACAGGCAGGCACGCAUAUUGGUGGCAAAAGAAAUUCAAUUAUAUAUAAGGACCCUCGAACCGAAAAGAACAGAACCAUGCGGCCACCAUACCAUACCAUCCACCACGGCAACAUCCUUUAAAGCAACAACAUCAACAACGGCAAGUGCAACAUUUAUUAACAGACGACAAAAGGGCAAAUUGUUGCUUUCGACAGACACAACAAAUUACAUAAGUUUUUAACGACACACCACAUACACACAUGAACACACCCACUCACACAGUCAGCCCGCAAAAUGUAUAUGCAACAAAAAUGCGAACAACUUUAGCAAAAAAUAAAAAAUCCCUUUGUUCACAAUGUGCCACGUACAGGGAGGAUACAGAUGGGGUUCUUGGGGACUAUUAUCCACUAUCCAUCCCCUCGAUCAGGUUGAGAUCGGCAGUGAAAUCGGCAGAAUCAGCAGCAACAACAGAGAUCAGCAACCGCAUAUUAAACAAAAAACCCAAAAAAUCAACAAAAAAAAACAAAAGAAAAAUACAAAAGAACAGAAAACUAAAACAUGAUUUUAAACAAAAAUGAAAUUAAAUAAUGGCAUAAUAAGUUAAGCUAAUGGUACAUAAGUUUAAAAAACAAACGGCAAGAAACGCUCUAGAGCAACAAAAAAAACAAGAAGAACAGAAAACCAAGACAAACAAAUAUAUAUAUAUAUAAUAAAAAUUAUAAUGAAAUAACUGAGAAAUAAAUAAAUUAAUUCAUAAUGAUAAAUAAACCAAUAUGAACAUUGUUCAAAAACAAA
Molecule: RNA transcript, 9061 nt
Organism: Drosophila biarmipes
Lineage: Eukaryota; Metazoa; Arthropoda; Insecta; Diptera; Drosophilidae
Gene: Rbp6
Gene name: RNA-binding protein Musashi homolog Rbp6
Exons: 16
Source: RefSeq, a predicted model, not a curated record